This 563-nucleotide ribosomal RNA is filed under the name Penicillium oxalicum. RNAcentral describes it as "eukaryotic LSU rRNA". The stretch from base 178 to 331 matches the Rfam family "5.8S ribosomal RNA". The record is from RNAcentral. Lineage: Eukaryota; Fungi; Ascomycota; Eurotiomycetes; Eurotiales; Aspergillaceae.
AGGAAACGAGUGAGGCUCUGGGUCACCUCCCACCCGUGUUUAUCGUACCUUGUUGCUUCGGCGGGCCCGCCUCACGGCCGCCGGGGGGCAUCCGCCCCCGGGCCCGCGCCCGCCGAAGACACACAAACGAACUCUUGUCUGAAGAUUGCAGUCUGAGUACUUGACUAAAUCAGUUAAAACUUUCAACAACGGAUCUCUUGGUUCCGGCAUCGAUGAAGAACGCAGCGAAAUGCGAUAAGUAAUGUGAAUUGCAGAAUUCAGUGAAUCAUCGAGUCUUUGAACGCACAUUGCGCCCCCUGGUAUUCCGGGGGGCAUGCCUGUCCGAGCGUCAUUGCUGCCCUCAAGCACGGCUUGUGUGUUGGGCUCUCGCCCCCCGCUUCCGGGGGGCGGGCCCGAAAGGCAGCGGCGGCACCGCGUCCGGUCCUCGAGCGUAUGGGGCUUCGUCACCCGCUCUGUAGGCCCGGCCGGCGCCCGCCGGCGAACACCAUCAAUCUUAACCAGGUUGACCUCGGAUCAGGUAGGGAUACCCGCUGAACUUAAGCAUAUCAUAAGGAGCGGUGGAA